RNAcentral lists this ribosomal RNA (358 nucleotides) under uncultured Planctomycetaceae bacterium. RNAcentral describes it as "bacterial SSU rRNA". It matches the Rfam family "Bacterial small subunit ribosomal RNA", at positions 28 to 412 of the family's 1533-position model. Lineage: Bacteria; Pseudomonadati; Planctomycetota; Planctomycetia; Planctomycetales; Planctomycetaceae. The record is from RNAcentral.
AACGAACGUUGGCGGCAUGGAUUAGGCAUGCAAGUCGGGCGAAUCCCAGCAAUGGGGGAAGCGGCGUAAGGGGCAGUAAGGCGUAGGUACCUGCCCGGGGGUCCGGGAUAGCCCGUCGAGAGACGGGGUAACACCGGAUGAUCCCGCGAGGGCAAAGUUUACGCCCCCGGAGGGGCCUACGUGGUAUUAGCUAGUUGGUGGGGUAACGGCCCACCAAGGCGGGGAUGCCUAGCGGGUGUGAGAGCACGACCCGCGCCGCUGGCACUGAGACACUGGCCAGACACCUACGGGUGGCUGCAGUCGAGGAUCUUCGGCAAUGGGGGGAACCCUGACCGAGCGAUGCCGCGUGUGCGACGAA